AAAAUUAUAAUUUUAAAAACUUUUAAAGAGGGCCAUGGCCCCUCACCCGCAGUGUAGUUUGGCUCAUAGUUGGGAUGGAACCACAUCGCAGCUCAUCAGUUGAUUUUUCUUAGUUGAACAUGGUCGGGAAAAGGCAAAAUUUUCCAACUUUUUCCAACUGAUGCAAAAAGCAAACUAGGAACCUGUUCCUCUACUCCUCUGCCCGCCAAACUGGGUCCUACUAUUUAUAGCACAUCUUUCUAUUAUUGAAAUGGAGUGGUCCUUGUCCUUUACGAUCUUUUGCAAUAAGAUUUCUAUUUUAAUUGAAGGAAAAUUUUAGAGAAUCAUACUUAUCGUGAAGAUACCUUCAAAUAUU
This 355-nucleotide unclassified non-coding RNA is filed under the name Hevea brasiliensis (rubber tree). The record is from RNAcentral. Lineage: Eukaryota; Viridiplantae; Streptophyta; Magnoliopsida; Malpighiales; Euphorbiaceae.